This 497-nucleotide ribosomal RNA is filed under the name uncultured bacterium. Its description in RNAcentral is "partial 16S ribosomal RNA". It matches the Rfam family "Bacterial small subunit ribosomal RNA", at positions 28 to 507 of the family's 1533-position model. The record is from RNAcentral.
GAUGAACGCUGGCGGCGUGCCUAAUACAUGCAAGUCGAGCGAACAGACGAGGAGCUUGCUCCUCUGACGUUAGCGGCGGACGGGUGAGUAACACGUGGAUAACCUACCUAUAAGACUGGGAUAACUUCGGGAAACCGGAGCUAAUACCGGAUAAUAUAUUGAACCGCAUGGUUCAAUAGUGAAAGACGGUUUUGCUGUCACUUAUAGAUGGAUCCGCGCCGCAUUAGCUAGUUGGUAAGGUAACGGCUUACCAAGGCAACGAUGCGUAGCCGACCUGAGAGGGUGAUCGGCCACACUGGAACUGAGACACGGUCCAGACUCCUACGGGAGGCAGCGGUAGGAAAUCUUCCGCAAUGGGCGAAAGCCUGACGGAGCAACGCCGCGUGAGUGAUGAAGGUCUUCGGAUCGUAAAACUCUGUUAUUAGGGAAGAACAAAUGUGUAAGUAACUAUGCACGUCUUGACGGUACCUAAUCAGAAAGCCACGGCUAACUACGUG